CGGGGUAUAGCGCAGAUGGUAGCGCGCGUGGUUUGGGACCAUGAGGCCGCGGGUUCAAAUCCUGCUAUCCCAGCCA
This 76-nucleotide transfer RNA is filed under the name Clostridium botulinum. Its description in RNAcentral is "tRNA-Pro". It matches the Rfam family "tRNA". From Rfam's summary of the family: Transfer RNA (tRNA) molecules are approximately 80 nucleotides in length. Their secondary structure includes four short double-helical elements and three loops (D, anti-codon, and T loops). The record is from RNAcentral. Lineage: Bacteria; Bacillati; Bacillota; Clostridia; Eubacteriales; Clostridiaceae.